AGAGUUUGAUCAUGGCUCAGAUUGAACGCUGGCGGCAGGCCUAACACAUGCAAGUCGAGCGGGGUUUUCGGACCUAGCGGCGGACGGGUGAGUAAUGCGUAGGAAGCUACCCGAUAGAGGGGGAUACCAGUUGGAAACGACUGUUAAUACCGCAUAAUGUCUACGGACCAAAGUGUGGGACCUUCGGGCCACAUGCUAUGGGAUGCGCCUACGUGGGAUUAGCUAGUUGGUGAGGUAAUGGCUCACCAAGGCGACGAUCCCUAGCUGGUUUGAGAGGAUGAUCAGCCACACUGGAACUGAGACACGGUCCAGACUCCUACGGGAGGCAGCAGUGGGGAAUAUUGGACAAUGGGCGCAAGCCUGAUCCAGCCAUGCCGCGUGUGUGAAGAAGGCCUUCGGGUUGUAAAGCACUUUCAGCGAGGAGGAAGGGGUUGCAGUUAAUAGCUGCAAUCUUUGACGUUACUCGCAGAAGAAGCACCGGCUAACUCUGUGCCAGCAGCCGCGGUAAUACAGAGGGUGCAAGCGUUAAUCGGAAUUACUGGGCGUAAAGCGCACGUAGGCGGUUUUUUAAGUCAGAUGUGAAAGCCCCGGGCUCAACCUGGGAAUUGCAUUUGAAACUGGAAAGCUAGAGUGUGUGAGAGGGGGGUAGAAUUCCAAGUGUAGCGGUGAAAUGCGUAGAGAUUUGGAGGAAUACCAGUGGCGAAAGCGGCCCCCUGGCACAACACUGACGCUCAGUGCGAAAGCGUGGGGAGCAAACAGGAUUAGAUACCCUGGUAGUCCACGCCGUAAACGAUGUCUACUAGCUGUUCGUGGUCUUGUACUGUGAGUAGCGCAGCUAACGCACUAAGUAGACCGCCUGGGGAGUACGGUCGCAGAUUAAACUCAAUGAUUGACGGGGCCCGCACAGCGUGAGCAUGUGUUUAUCGACGCACGCGAGACUACUACUCUGACAUCUACAGACUAGCAGAGAUGCUCGUGCUCGACUGUAAGACAGUGCUGCAUGCCUGUCGUCAGCUCUGUGUGAA
This 1025-nucleotide ribosomal RNA is filed under the name uncultured bacterium. Its description in RNAcentral is "bacterial SSU rRNA". It matches the Rfam family "Bacterial small subunit ribosomal RNA", at positions 8 to 1071 of the family's 1533-position model. The record is from RNAcentral.